This is a long non-coding RNA of Quercus robur (English oak), 1597 nucleotides long. RefSeq lists it as uncharacterized. The record is from RefSeq and is a predicted model, not a curated record. NCBI's taxonomy places the organism in Eukaryota, Viridiplantae, Streptophyta, Magnoliopsida, Fagales, Fagaceae. The transcript is spliced from 2 exons.
CCUCUUUUAUGCAUGUUUUGCUUCUCUUUAUACUUCCCUCUUCCUUCCCUUUUGGAACCCUUUCUCACCACACAGCUGGGGUGAUACUUGUCCUAUUAGACAUGUUAUCCCUUAUUUUCAUGAUAUCUGGACUUUUCGAGCUUAAAGUACUGUUCAGGUAAGUCAUUCAGCAAUAAAUACGACUAUGCCAAGCAGGUGGUCGAAUUAAUGCGGAAAUGACUAUUACUUCAUCCAAGAGCCAUGCACCCUUUGGAUCCUCGGACAUUUCUUCCGAGAACACUGAGUUCAUCGUCAAGAUCAUCCAAGGACACAGGCUACACAGACCUCGAGCUUCAAACCAUUUUCCCUGAGAUGCCAGAUCUUAAUUCCUUGAGCCCAAUAGCUUUUCUCUAUUGCUAGGUAUUAGGCUGAUCUUCCUAAGAAGCCAAAAACACUUAGAAUCAAACCCACUCCCUCAUAAUUAUGUUCAUGAGGGACAUUACGAGACAAUGUAGAACACACAAAGCUGGCUUUGUAGUACAAGCUUUCUCUCUCAAUGCACGAUAAGCGCCCUUACUAUCUUGUGCUUUGAGAUUUGGGCUUUAUCCACUGUCGUCCUCUCGUAAGCGACGCUCAGGGAGGGUUGGUCUCUACCCUUUGUGGGUUCCUUCUAGACUCUUGUGGGUCUUGUGCUACCACUUUGUGUGGCUUCUCUUUGCCCCUUUAUGGAUCUUGUGCCGCCACUUCGUAUGGCUUUCUCUUUACCCCUUUUGUGGGUUUAUACUUACUCUGUGUGGGUCGUGUUGGUCUCUCUUGCCAAGUUUCUCAUCUUGGUCUAUCAACAUUUCAGCCGCUUGGUGUGUUGGUAAGGGUCAAGUGGAUUAGCUAGCUUCCUCAAACUGUUUACUCCUCAACAUUAUUGGCCUCCUUUGUGUUUUGUUUUUGCUAAGAAGUGGUGAUCUAAUUUAUGUGGUUAAUGAAAUUAAAUAAGUGGAUUUAUGCAAAGAAGAAAGCUAAUGGACUUUAAUUUUACAAGGGCCAUGAUGAAGUCAAAGAAGGCCAACCCAAUUAAAUUCAAUUCCAGUUGGAGCAAGGAAUCAAAGGAAAUUUACACCUAAUCCAAGUCCAAUUCGGAUUAGGAUUCCAGCUUGCACACCAGUUAGUAUUUGGAGCAUAACUUUUGGUGCAGAUGUCCAAUCGAGAUGAUUUAAGUUGGGCUGGAAAGAUAACUUAAAUGGCUACAACUUUGUAGUUUACUAAAAGUCCAAAUUCUGAAGUUAAAUGGGCCAAAAACAUCGGUUAAGUAAAGCCUAAAAACCUGGGAUUUUCUCCAAACGGGAAUUCAACUUGUAAUAGGAUUCCUUGACCUAUUUAAAGGCUCUUUAGGGAAAAAUUCAGAGGAGAGCUGCUGUAGAACAUAAUUUAGGUUUUCUUAAAGUUUCUUUACAGUUUUUAGAGUUUUAUUUGUGUUAUGGCUUGCUAGAAGCCUUGUUAAGGCAAGGGGUGAAACCCAACCGUUUAUUAGUAUGUUCUUAACAAUUAUUUAUUGGUUUUAAUACUUAUGUUUUUAUGUUUUUGAUUGUUUUACUCAUCUAGAAAAGUGUUUAGUUCUGUAUAA